ACCCUACGGGGGGCAGCAGUGGGGAAUAUUGGGCAAUGGGCGCAAGCCUGACCCAGCAACGCCGCGUGAAGGAAGAAGGCUUUCGGGCUGUAAACUUCUUUCGUCAGGGACGAAGCAAGUGACGGUACCUGACGAAUAAGCCACGGCUAACUACGUGCCAGCAGCCGCGGUAAUACGUAGGUGGCAAGCGUUAUCCGGAUUUAUUGGGUUUAAAGGGUGCGUAGGCGGGCGGCCAAGUCAGCGGUAAAAUUGCGGGGCUCAACCCCGUCGAGCCGUUGAAACUGGCGGGCUUGAGUGGGCGAGAG
Molecule: ribosomal RNA, 305 nt
Filed under: uncultured bacterium
Lineage: Bacteria
Description: bacterial SSU rRNA
Rfam family: Bacterial small subunit ribosomal RNA
Source: RNAcentral